RNAcentral lists this ribosomal RNA (460 nucleotides) under uncultured bacterium. Its description in RNAcentral is "partial 16S ribosomal RNA". It matches the Rfam family "Bacterial small subunit ribosomal RNA", at positions 338 to 795 of the family's 1533-position model. The record is from RNAcentral.
CCUACGGGCGGCAGCAGUGAGGAAUAUUGGUCAAUGGACGCGAGCCUGAACCAGCCAUGUAGCGUGCAGGAUGACUGCCCUACGGGUUGUAAACUGCUUUUAUACAAGGAUAAAGUGAGGCACGUGUGCCUUUUUGUAUGUACCUUAUGAAUAAGGAUCGGCUAACUCCGUGCCAGCAGCCGCGGUAAUACGGAGGAUCCGAGCGUUAUCCGGAUUUAUUGGGUUUAAAGGGUGCGUAGAUGGGUUGUUAAGUCAGUUGUGAAAGUUUGGGGCUCAACCGUGAAAUUGCAAUUGAUACUGGUAGCCUUGAGUAUAGUUGUGGUAGGCGGAAUGCGUGGUGUAGCGGUGAAAUGCUUAGAUAUCACGCAGAACACCGAUUGCGAAGGCAGCUUACUAAACUGCCACUGACAUUGAGGCUCGAAAGUGUGGGUAGCAAACAGGAUUAGAUACCCUUGUAGUC